RNAcentral lists this transfer RNA (72 nucleotides) under Camelus bactrianus (Bactrian camel). It matches the Rfam family "tRNA". From Rfam's summary of the family: Transfer RNA (tRNA) molecules are approximately 80 nucleotides in length. Their secondary structure includes four short double-helical elements and three loops (D, anti-codon, and T loops). RNAcentral also lists the same sequence under 2 other names. The record is from Rfam by way of RNAcentral. Lineage: Eukaryota; Metazoa; Chordata; Mammalia; Artiodactyla; Camelidae.
AGGGAAAUAGCUCAGUAGUAGAGCGUGUGCUUAGCAUGCACAAGAUCCUGGAUUCAAACUCCAGUACCUCCA